UUCAAUAAUAACAGAUAAAAGCCAAUUUGACGUCAAAUCUACAAAAGUCAAAGUUUUCGGGAGAGUAAAAAUAAAAAUAAGCGUGUGUAAGGAAAAAUAAAA
This is a long non-coding RNA of Rhagoletis zephyria (snowberry fruit fly), 102 nucleotides long. RefSeq lists it as uncharacterized. Lineage: Eukaryota; Metazoa; Arthropoda; Insecta; Diptera; Tephritidae. The record is from RefSeq and is a predicted model, not a curated record.